GUAGGUGGCAAGCGUUGUCCGGAAUUAUUGGGCGUAAAGCGCGCGCAGGCGGUUCUUUAAGUCUGAUGUGAAAGCCCACGGCUCAACCGUGGAGGGUCAUUGGAAACUGGAGAACUUGAGUACAGAAGAGGAAAGCGGAAUUCCACGUGUAGCGGUGAAAUGCGUAGAGAUGUGGAGGAACACCAGUGGCGAAGGCGGCUCUCUGGUCUGUAACUGACGCUGAGGCGCGAAAGCGUGGGGAGCAAACAGGGAUUAGAUACCCUGGUAGUCCACGCCGUAAACGAUGAGUGCUAAGUGUUAGGGGGGUUUCCGCCCCCUUAGUGCUGCAGCUAACGCAUUAAGCACUCCGCCUGGGGAUACGGCCGCAAGGCUG
RNAcentral lists this ribosomal RNA (373 nucleotides) under uncultured organism. Its description in RNAcentral is "partial 16S ribosomal RNA". It matches the Rfam family "Bacterial small subunit ribosomal RNA", at positions 527 to 896 of the family's 1533-position model. The record is from RNAcentral.